Molecule: long non-coding RNA, 4602 nt
Organism: Zalophus californianus (California sea lion)
Lineage: Eukaryota; Metazoa; Chordata; Mammalia; Carnivora; Otariidae
Exons: 3
Source: RefSeq, a predicted model, not a curated record
CGCCGGGCCCCUGACGUCACCCGAUUCGCCAGGAAAUGAACUUUUUAAUAAUCCGAGGAGGGAGGAAAGCCCUCGGUCCCCUCGGCUCGGGGGGCUCCCGGCCAGGCCCAGCUCCGCGGGCGCGCCCCAGUCACCCUCUCCCAGGCCAGCUCUGGGCAGCGCCGGGGGUGCCGGCACGGGCCAGGGGCCUCCUCCUGCCUCUGCGUCCGACUGUCCGUUCGGCUGUCCGUUCAUCUGUCCGAGGCCCUGGCGCAGCUUACGAUUCUUCAUCAACGCGUAAAAUGCGAUCGUCAGAGCCUCGAAAGUGUUUGGCGUCCCUGGAGCCCAGCGAGAGCUUAUCAAAGACACCGCGGCCCCGGGGACAAUCCCCGGUGUCGGGCAAGGCCGCCCCGUCAGCCUGAACCCUGGGACCCAGCGCAGGAGGCAGCCAGCCGCUUGCCGGCCCCGGGGCCUUGAACGCCGGAGCCGAGCGGAAGCUUUCCGUGGGGCUGCGAUCUGCGCCUUGGCUCGCAGGGACGUGGCCGCUCCGGGCCCUCGGGAAAACAGAUUAUCGGAGCCCUUUCAGAGCGCGCACAACAAAUGCGCCCGCCAUCGAAUGCAUCAUUUACCACCGCAGAUCCGCGCGCUGAUGGGCAGGCAGAUAGCCGUCCGCGGGGGGCACGCCGGGCGCCCUGUGCCCGCGCCGCCUGCCUGCCUGCCUGCCUGCCUGCCUGCCUGCCGGGGGCACCCGCCUGUGCGCCCCCGGGUGUGCCCGGCAUGUUUGGAUGGACAUUCGCGUGUGCCAGUGGAUGGGCACUGAACAAGAAAGGGUAUUGGUGUACAUGCGGGUAUGUCAAAGAAGAGUGCUACAAGAAAGUGCAGAUGUGCAAGCCCACACGCACAUGCGUGGUGGGCGUGUGUGCCGUGAGUGCCUGGAGAUGGCCCAGCAGAGGCUGUUUGAGGGUGCACAGAGGAAGGGAUGUUGCACGUGAGUGUGUAGGUAUGCAUGUUACUCAGGAUGGGUAGACACGUGUGUGAAAGGGUGGGUGUGCAAAUCCAUGUGUACAGUGUGGUGAAUGGGUGUAUUGUGAGUGCCUCAAUGUAUCUGCCCUCGACGAGGCUGUUUAAGUGUGCACACAGGAGGUGGUGUCAUCUGCCACUAGGGCGCGUGUGUAUGUGUAUAUUCGGACAUGGGUGUGUUAGUCUCCUGAGUGUUGUGUGCCUGCAGGUGUCCCACCCUCCUCAGUGUUCUGGGUUCAUACAGCCCUGUAAGCAUGUGCAUCCAUGCAUACCUGUGACUGCCAGGAGUGAGUGUGCAAGGUGUCGGUGUUCAGCCCGGUGUGUGCCUUCAGGGUGCACGGAUCUGCGUGAGGGUGGUUGUGUUGUUGUGUAUCUAUCUGCCUGGGAGUGCCCGGGUGUGCUGCGGAGGGUCAAGAGGGAGGGGCAGUUGUUGGGGCCUGUGCCUGCGCCUGCAAGUGCAGGCUCAGGACACAAGAGCUGGGGAGUUGGGACCCCUCUCCAGCUUGGGGAAGAGCCAGCCAGCAGGGAGGGAAAGGUGUGUGCGGGUGUGAUAGACGCCACAGUAGAAGGAAUGGGAUGUGCUAGUGACAGAAAACGGGGUGUGCGUGUGUGUAAGGGAGAGGGGUCUUCCGAGGAGUUUGGGAACACCCAGGGGUCCCAACCCGCCUCAGCAAGCACGCCCCGCCAGGGGCCCCAGAGCCUCCCCGCUCCGGACCUGAGGAAAGAGAGACCCGAGCUCCGCCGCCUGAGGUCCCCGCGCCGUGAGUGACACGCGCCGCCGACAAAGGCUGUAUUUUUCCAGGCUCGAGCCCCGCCCGCGCGCGCCCGCGAUGGUCCCCAUGGCGACGCAGAUAGCGCCGCAGCCAUUUUCCCUAUCUCCCCGGAGUCUAUUAUACCGCGGGAUUAGCUCAUCUCCAGGCAGGUCAAACCCAAAGUCACACAACCUGCGGCGCGGGCCCCGCCCCCCGCCCGGCCGCCCCUCCCCCGCCGGGGGGUCCGGUCCCGGCCCGGCGACCCCCAGAGCAGCGGCCCUUGCGCAGGCGCAGAGCGCCACCUGGCGGCCGCCGGUGUCCCGAGCGGGGUCCCGGGGAGCCGGCGGCUUGAACCCCAGGCACCAGGCAGAAGAGCUGGGGUAGGGGUCCUCUCCUCCCGGAGGUGGACUCUCCAGAAGCAGGGGCUUUGUUUUGUCACUGCUGUGUCUCCAGGGCUGGGCUGACACACAGUAGAUGCUCCAUAAGUGUUUCUUGGAUAGAUGGAUGGCAGGAAAUUAUAGACCUAGCAAACUGUCAAAGGUCACACAGCUUAGUUGGCAACAAGAAAUCAUUUCUUAGAAUGUAUCCACUGAAUUUAGGAUAAAAGCCAAACUCCUCUGGAACCUGUGUAAUAGCCUUUGCUGAUCACUCAGACCUAUUUUCGCCCUUUCUUGAUCCAGUCACAGUGGCCUUCCUUCUGUUCUUUGAACAAGCCAGAACAUUCCUCCCACCCCGGGGCCUUUGUGUCUGCUAUUCCCUCUACGCAGAGUGUAUGCUGCCUCUGUUCAAAUGUCACCCCUCAGAGAGCAAAACUGAGCCUUCAGACUUUUCUUUUAGAGUAAGUACUUUCAACGUGAACUAGUCUCCUCCCUGUUUGUGCAAGUCGCCGGCUUUCUUGCCCCACUGGAAUGCUAGGCUUCCUGGGGAAAGGGAAUCUGUCUUGUUCCCCAGCGAUAGCUUGGAAUCUCCUUUGAUAACUGGUCGGCAUCAGGCACAACUUUGGGAAUGAGUGAAUGGGGACAAGAGGAGGCCAGAGCAAGUGGGUCAGACUGUGCCCUGCUAUCAUGAUCAUUUCUCCUUAUCGUUAGACCAUUCCCCCCUACCCUGCCCCUGUGUUGUGCUCACUUGGCCCCAGGAUGCCUGGCUCCACCAACCUGCCCACGCUGGCAAGUCCAGAGGGACCUGGGACUUAAGGGAAAGAGCACCAUGGAGGCCCCUCUGCAAGGCGUGCCUGCAUUGCUAGUGGGGGUAGAGAACACUUCUCAUCCUGUGUUCUCAGGGAGCCGUGGCCUCUCUGGGAAGGCCUGGGCCGCCAGGUGAGCCUUCACUCAUAAUACAAGAUAAUUAUACCCGAGUUGUCAUGAGGUGGUGAUGAUUAAUUGCUAUGCAUGGGGCAUGCACAGUGAAGUAACUAGAACUAGAGAAGGCCACAGCCUGCCUGGGCUUCCAGGUGGGAGUCCAGCCAGCCCAUCGCCAGGCCAAGCUUUACCCUGCUCAGGUGGGCUUGAGACAAACCCCUUGAGAGGCUUUGCCCAGGGACUCGGAGAAUAAGCUCCCUGUUCCCUCAGAAGUGCCCCAAUUCCCUCCCUGGAGAGGAGCUGUGGGUUAAUGCAGGUUCUUGGGCCAGGACUCCCCCCAACAUAUAUACUUACACCCCUUCUGGCUGGGUGGCCUUAGGCAAGUCACUUUCCUACUCUGAGCCUCAGGUCUGCUUCUGCAAACCUCCCUCCAGGGUUAUGAGAAUUACUCAUAAGCAUGUAUUUAAAAGGAGUUUUGUGAUCCAGGCUUUGAAAAUUGGCAAUCCAAGUCUCAGGGACCCAUGCAGUGACUAAUGUCACCAACAUUUCAAAGUGGGAGAUUUCACAUAAAGAACUUCAUUUGCAGCUUCUCUUGAAAAUUUGGAAGAUUGGCUACCCUGGGCCCACAUUCUUGUAUGGUAAUGUAAUGCUGGAGUUCUGUAUCACCAGCCCCUUGUGCACUGGGGUCUUUGCCCACCCACUUCAGGCCCACGGGUCAGGGAUGUGUCACUCAUAGAAAUAACGUGUGCUGUGGCUAUGUUGGUUUUGGCCUCCCUUCUCUGUAUCCUUUGCUGGAAUUUCCAAUAUCUUUCUCCCUCCAGGUACUGUAAACCACUUAAUAAUAAAUUAAUUAAUAAAUCCAAUCAACACUUUAAAAUAAUGUGUUUGGACAGUACUGAAUAAAACAGCUAUGGUACCUGUCCUCAGGGGACAGUCAGACAUAACCACACAGAUUAAUACAUCAUCACAAAUUGUGACAGGAACUCUGAGGGGCAAAGAACAUAUAUUUACAGAUAUUGAAUCCAAGCGUAUUUUCAGAGACCUACUCUGCGCCAGGUCCUGUGCUGAGAGGUGAGGGCAUGGAAUGAAACCCGAUACGGUCACUGUGGGCAGACAACUCACAGGGUGGUGGAGGUGCAGGCACAUUAAGAGAUUCGGUUAAUUCCAGCCCGUGAGAAUUAGAAGCACAGGGUGCUUGGGGGAGAGUCACUUAUCCUAGUCUGAGAGCAUAAUAUAUAAAGAGUGCCUACAAAUCAAUAAGACAAAAAUAGAAGAGAAAAAAUAGGCAAAGGGUGUGAACAGAAAAUUUACAGAAAAGGAACUAGAAAUGUCUCUUAGAUUGAUGAAAACAUGCUCAGUCUCACCAAGAGAAAUGAAAAUUUAAAACACAUUGAAAGAUUUGGGAAGAGAGAAAUGUUCUAAAAUUAGACUGUGGUGAUGGUUGCAACUCCAUAAAUUUACUAGAAUUUAUGAAAUGUACAUUUAAAAUGAAUAAACUUCAUGGUGUGUGAAUUAUACCACGUAAUGCUGUUUGAAAAUAAAUCCUAAAACAC